GAUAAACGCUGGCGGCGUGCCUAAUACAUGCAAGUCGAGCGAACAGACGAGGAGCUUGCUCCUCUGACGUUAGCGGCGGACGGGUGAGUAACACGUGGAUAACCUACCUAUAAGACUGGGAUAACUUCGGGAAACCGGAGCUAAUACCGGAUAAUAUAUUGAACCGCAUGGUUCAAUAGUGAAAGACGGUUUUGCUGUCACUUAUAGAUGGAUCCGCGCCGCAUUAGCUAGUUGGUAAGGUAACGGCUUACCAAGGCGACGAUGCGUAGCCGACCUGAGAGGGUGAUCGGCCACACUGGAACUGAGACACGGUCCAGACUCCUACGGGAGGCAGCAGUAGGGAAUCUUCCGCAAUGGGCGAAAGCCUGACGGAGCAACGCCGCGUGAGUGAUGAAGGUCUUCGGAUCGUAAAACUCUGUUAUUAGGGAAGAACAAAUGUGUAAGUAACUAUGCACGUCUUGACGGUACCUAAUCAGAAAGCCACGGCUAACUACGUG
Molecule: ribosomal RNA, 497 nt
Filed under: uncultured bacterium
Lineage: Bacteria
Description: partial 16S ribosomal RNA
Rfam family: Bacterial small subunit ribosomal RNA
Source: RNAcentral